This 521-nucleotide ribosomal RNA is filed under the name uncultured bacterium. Its description in RNAcentral is "bacterial SSU rRNA". It matches the Rfam family "Archaeal small subunit ribosomal RNA", at positions 345 to 866 of the family's 1478-position model. The record is from RNAcentral.
AACCUCCGCAAUGUGAGAAAUCGCGACGGGGGGAUCCCAAGUGCCAUUCUUAACGGGAUGGCUUUUCUUAAGUGUAAAAAGCUUUUGGAAUAAGAGCUGGGCAAGACCGGUGCCAGCCGCCGCGGUAACACCGGCAGCUCUAGUGGUAGCAGUUUUUAUUGGGCCUAAAGCGUCCGUAGCCGGUUUAAUAAGUCUCUGGUGAAAUCCUGUAGCUUAACUGUGGGAAUUGCUGGAGAUACUAUUAGACUUGAGACCGGGAGAGGUUAGAGGUACUCCCAGGGUAGAGGUGAAAUUCUGUAAUCCUGGGAGGACCGCCUGUUGCGAAGGCGUCUAACUGGAACGGUUCUGACGGUGAGGGACGAAAGUUAGGGGCGCGAACCGGAUUAGAUACCCGGGUAGUCCUAACCGUAAACGAUGCGGACUUGGUGUUGGGGUGGCUUUGAGCUGCUCCAGUGCCGAAGGGAAGCUGUUAAGUCCGCCGCCUGGGAAGUACGGUCGCAAGACCGAAACUUAAAGGAAUU